Molecule: long non-coding RNA, 501 nt
Filed under: Panax ginseng (ginseng)
Lineage: Eukaryota; Viridiplantae; Streptophyta; Magnoliopsida; Apiales; Araliaceae
Description: long non-coding RNA (PGIN_LNC010873)
Source: RNAcentral
GUUUAGGAACAUUUCUAGUGACCGGCAGAUGUGGCACAGCCACAUCAGCAUGAGAGAGAGUGGAAAAAAGUCAAUUACCCAGAACAGGGGAAGCCUUUUUUCACUUUGCCAAACAGCUAUGUAUCUCUAGCAUCAAUAUUAUCUUCCUUCCUCUCUCAUGCCAGACGCCAAAUUGAACUCCAACAUCACUGAACAAGAACUUCUGCUUAGCUGAACAAGAACUCCUGCUUCGCUGAACAAGUUUUCUCCAAAAAUAACACUCUUCCCAUUUCGUAUCCUCCUCCUACUACUCUCAUACUGUUAAAUUCCCAAAACCCUAAAAUUUGUGCAAACUCUUAUUUUGGGUAAAUUUUUUAUGCAAACUCUUUGAGAAUUGUAAAGGAAGGGAUUACUUAAUUGGGAGAGGAAGGUAGAUGUCUUAAUUUGGUUCAGCUGUACAAUUAAUUUGAUCUAUCUACUUCCAUUGUUUCAGAAAAUAGAAAAGCACUCAUUUAUGUUUUC